This 110-nucleotide small RNA is filed under the name Salmonella enterica subsp. enterica serovar Typhimurium. RNAcentral's name for it is "RtT RNA". The stretch from base 1 to 64 matches the Rfam family "tRNA". Rfam says of the family: Transfer RNA (tRNA) molecules are approximately 80 nucleotides in length. Their secondary structure includes four short double-helical elements and three loops (D, anti-codon, and T loops). Further hydrogen bonds mediate the characteristic L-shaped molecular structure. tRNAs have two regions of fundamental functional importance: the anti-codon, which is responsible for specific mRNA codon recognition, and the 3' end, to which the tRNAs corresponding amino acid is attached (by aminoacyl-tRNA synthetases). tRNAs cope with the degeneracy of the genetic code in two manners: having more than one tRNA (with a specific anti-codon) for a particular amino acid; and 'wobble' base-pairing, i.e. permitting non-standard base-pairing at the 3rd anti-codon position. The record is from RNAcentral. Lineage: Bacteria; Pseudomonadati; Pseudomonadota; Gammaproteobacteria; Enterobacterales; Enterobacteriaceae.
UAGCUCAGUUGGUAGAGCAGUUGACUUUUAAUCAAUUGGUCGCAGGUUCGAGCCGCUUGCGGCGACGGCCCGAAGGGCGAGCAAAGCGAGUCAUCCUGCACGACCCACCA